Molecule: ribosomal RNA, 497 nt
Filed under: uncultured bacterium
Lineage: Bacteria
Description: partial 16S ribosomal RNA
Rfam family: Bacterial small subunit ribosomal RNA
Source: RNAcentral
UCCUCCCUCUUUCUUCGUGCCUAAUACAUGCAAGUAGAACGCUGAAGAGAGGAGCUUGCUCUUCUUGGAUGAGUUGCGAACGGGUGAGUAACGCGUAGGUAACCUGCCUUGUAGCGGGGGAUAACUAUUGGAAACGAUAGCUAAUACCGCAUAACAAUGGAUGACACAUGUCAUUUAUUUGAAAGGGGCAAUUGCUCCACUACAAGAUGGACCUGCGUUGUAUUAGCUAGUAGGUGAGGUAACGGCUCACCUAGGCGACGAUACAUAGCCGACCUGAGAGGGUGAUCGGCCACACUGGGACUGAGACACGGCCCAGACUCCUACGGGAGGCAGCAGUAGGGAAUCUUCGGCAAUGGGGGCAACCCUGACCGAGCAACGCCGCGUGAGUGAAGAAGGGUUUCGGAUCGUAAAGCUCUGUUGUAAGUCAAGAACGAGUGUGAGAGUGGAAAGUUCACACUGUGACGGUAGCUUACCAGAAAGGGACGGCUAACUACGUG